AGCUUUGCGCAGUGACAGUAUCGUAACCAAUGAGGUUUAUAUGAGGCAUAAUUAUUGCUAAUUGAAAAAUUAAAUGUAAGCUAUGUGGUGGUGACCUCCAUGCCUUUUAUCCCAGCACUCUGG
Small nuclear RNA from Rattus norvegicus (Norway rat), 123 nucleotides. Ensembl annotates it as U4 spliceosomal RNA. The record is from Ensembl. NCBI's taxonomy places the organism in Eukaryota, Metazoa, Chordata, Mammalia, Rodentia, Muridae.